UCCUCAUUAAAAUGAGGCAGUCUGUCCAGAGUGCUUCGAACUCUCGUUCGAGUGGCAACAGGACACAAGGGUUGCGCUCGUUGCGGGACUUAACCCAACAUCUCACGACACGAGCUGACGACAGCCAUGCAGCACCUGUGUAAGCUUCCCUUGCGGGAUCGUCACCCUUUCAGGCUUCUACCACCUACAUGUCAAGGCCAGGUAAGGUUCUUCGCGUUGCAUCGAAUUAAGCCACAUACUCCACCGCUUGUGCAGGCCCCCGUCAAUUUCUUUGAGUUUUAAUCUUGCGACCGUACUUCCCAGGCGGCACAUUUAACGCGUUAGCUUCGCCACAAGCGGGGUCGAUUCCGCUUACAGCAAAUGUGCACCGUUUACAGCUAGGACUAC
This 387-nucleotide unclassified non-coding RNA is filed under the name uncultured Verrucomicrobiae bacterium. RNAcentral describes it as "contains 16S-23S intergenic spacer region". The record is from RNAcentral. Lineage: Bacteria; Pseudomonadati; Verrucomicrobiota; Verrucomicrobiia.